AUGAACGCUGGCGGCGUGCCUAAUACAUGCAAGUCGAGCGAACAGACGAGGAGCUUGCUCCUCUGACGUUAGCGGCGGACGGGUGAGUAACACGUGGAUAACCUACCUAUAAGACUGGGAUAACUUCGGGAAACCGGAGCUAAUACCGGAUAAUAUAUUGAACCGCAUGGUUCAAUAGUGAAAGACGGUUUUGCUGUCACUUAUAGAUGGAUCCGCGCCGCAUUAGCUAGUUGGUAAGGUAACGGCUUACCAAGGCAACGAUGCGUAGCCGACCUGAGAGGGUGAUCGCCCACACUGAACCUGAGACACGGUCCAGAACCCUACGGGAGGCAGCAGUAGGGAAUCUUCCGAAAUGGGCGAAAGCCUGACGGAGCAACGCCGCGUGAGUGAUGAAGGUCUUCGGAUCGUAAAACUCUGUUAUUAGGGAAGAACAACUGUGUAAGUAACUAUGCACGUCUUGACGGUACCUAUCAGAAAGCCACGGCUAACUACGUG
Molecule: ribosomal RNA, 495 nt
Filed under: uncultured bacterium
Lineage: Bacteria
Description: partial 16S ribosomal RNA
Rfam family: Bacterial small subunit ribosomal RNA
Source: RNAcentral